RNAcentral lists this ribosomal RNA (526 nucleotides) under Amylostereum chailletii. RNAcentral describes it as "eukaryotic LSU rRNA". The stretch from base 209 to 362 matches the Rfam family "5.8S ribosomal RNA". Lineage: Eukaryota; Fungi; Basidiomycota; Agaricomycetes; Russulales; Stereaceae. The record is from RNAcentral.
UUUCCGUAGGUGAACCUGCGGAAGGAUCAUUAUCGAAUUCAGAAGGCUUGGGUUGUAGCUGGUCCCUCGGGACAAGUGCUCGCCCUUGCUCUUUCCGACACACCUUGUGCACUCCCGCGUGGGCUGCGAUGACCUCGGUCGUCGCGCUCGCGAUUUUAUACACUCUUCGUAUGUCUCAGAAUGUCUUUGCGUGUUGCGCAUCUAAUACAACUUUCAACAACGGAUCUCUUGGCUCUCGCAUCGAUGAAGAACGCAGCGAAAUGCGAUAAGUAAUGUGAAUUGCAGAAUUCAGUGAAUCAUCGAAUCUUUGAACGCACCUUGCGCCCCUUGGUAUUCCGAGGGGCACACCUGUUUGAGUGUCGUGAAUUUCUCAACUCCGCCUCCUUUGCGGGAGAGCGGGGCUUGGAGUUGGAGGUUUGCGGGCGCAAGUCCGCUCCUCUCAAAUGCAUUAGUGAAGCCCAGGCGGCCUCGGCGUGAUAAUUGUCUACGUCCAAGGUUGUCUAUUGCGGUUUUCGCUUCUAACCGU